RNAcentral lists this ribosomal RNA (253 nucleotides) under uncultured bacterium. RNAcentral's name for it is "partial 16S ribosomal RNA". It matches the Rfam family "Bacterial small subunit ribosomal RNA", at positions 524 to 776 of the family's 1533-position model. The record is from RNAcentral.
UACGUAGGGUGCGAGCGUUGUCCGGAAUUAUUGGGCGUAAAGAGCUUGUAGGCGGUUUGCCGCGUCUGCCGUGAAAAUUCGAGGCUCAACCUCGAACUUGCGGUGGGUACGGGCAGACUAGAGUGUGGUAGGGGAGACUGGAAUUCCUGGUGUAGCGGUGAAAUGCGCAGAUAUCAGGAGGAACACCGAUGGCGAAGGCAGGUCUCUGGGCCACUACUGACGCUGAGAAGCGAAAGCAUGGGGAGCGAACAGG